RNAcentral lists this ribosomal RNA (478 nucleotides) under uncultured bacterium. Its description in RNAcentral is "partial 16S ribosomal RNA". It matches the Rfam family "Bacterial small subunit ribosomal RNA", at positions 28 to 523 of the family's 1533-position model. The record is from RNAcentral.
GACGAACGCUGGCGGCGUGCUUAACACAUGCAAGUCGAACGGUAAGGCCCUUCGGGGUACACGAGUGGCGAACGGGUGAGUAACACGUGGGUGAUCUGCCCUGCACUUCGGGAUAAGCCUGGGAAACUGGGUCUAAUACCGGAUAGGACCAUUGCCUGCAUGGGUGGUGGUGGAAAGCUUUUGCGGUGUGGGAUGGGCCCGCGGCCUAUCAGCUUGUUGGUGGGGUGAUGGCCUACCAAGGCGACGACGGGUAGCCGGCCUGAGAGGGUGACCGGCCACACUGGGACUGAGAUACGGCCCAGACUCCUACGGGAGGCAGCAGUGGGGAAUAUUGCACAAUGGGCGCGAGCCUGAUGCAGCGACGCCGCGUGAGGGAUGACGGCCUUCGGGUUGUAAACCUCUUUCAGCACCGACGAAGCGCAAGUGACGGUAGGUGCAGAAGAAGGACCGGCCAACUACGUGCCAGCCGCCGCCGUAA